CCCAACUAUCCCUAUUAAUCAUUACGUCAAUCCUAGAAACCAACAAAAUAGGAUCGCUACGUCCUAUUUUAUUAUUCCAUGCUAAUGUAUUCAAGCGUUAGCCUGCUUUAAACACUCUAAUUUUUUCAAAGUAACAAGUCCUGAUUCCCUGCAGCACCAAAUAAAUGGCAUUACAGUUCUUCAAGAAGGAGGAAUCAGUAAAGCCGGUACAUACCAGUGGUACGACCAACCUACUAACCCCGAAAUUCAACUACGAGCUUUUUAACUGCAACAACUUUAAUAUACGCUAUUGGAGCUGGAAUUACCGCGGCUGCUGGCACCAGACUUGCCCUCCAA
This 336-nucleotide unclassified non-coding RNA is filed under the name uncultured Glomerales. RNAcentral describes it as "sequence contains 18S rRNA gene". The record is from RNAcentral. RNAcentral also lists the same sequence under 1 other name. Lineage: Eukaryota; Fungi; Glomeromycota; Glomeromycetes; Glomerales; Glomeraceae.